UACGGGGGGGGCAAGCGUUGUUCGGAAUUACUGGGCGUAAAGCGCGCGUAGGCGGAUCUGCAAGUCGGGGGUGAAAUCCCGAGGCUCAACCUCGGAACUGCCUUCGAUACUGCGGGUCUCGAGUCCGGGAGAGGUGAGUGGAAUUCCUAGUGUAGAGGUGAAAUUCGUAGAUAUUAGGAAGAACACCAGUGGCGAAGGCGGCUCACUGGCCCGGUACUGACGCUGAGGCGCGAAAGCUAGGGGAGCAAACGGG
Molecule: ribosomal RNA, 253 nt
Filed under: uncultured bacterium
Lineage: Bacteria
Description: partial 16S ribosomal RNA
Rfam family: Bacterial small subunit ribosomal RNA
Source: RNAcentral